RNAcentral lists this ribosomal RNA (468 nucleotides) under uncultured bacterium. Its description in RNAcentral is "partial 16S ribosomal RNA". It matches the Rfam family "Bacterial small subunit ribosomal RNA", at positions 28 to 507 of the family's 1533-position model. The record is from RNAcentral.
GACGAACGCUGGCGGCGUGCUUAACACACGCAAGUCGAACGGAAAGGCCCUGCUUUUGUGGGGUGCUCGAGUGGCGAACGGGUGAGUAACACGUGAGUAACCUGCCCUUGACGUUGGGAUAACGUCAGGAAACUGGGGCUAAUACCGGAUAGGAGCUCCUGCUGCAGGGUGGGGGUUGGAAAGUUUAGGCGGUUUGGGCUGGACUCGCGGCUUAUCAGCUUGUGGGGGGGGUAGUGGCUUACGAAGGCAUUGACGGGUGGCCGGCCUGGGAGGUUGACCGGCCCCCUUGCGCCUACGGGAGGCACCAGUCUCCUAUUGUGGGCAGUGGUCGGGAGCCUUAUCCAGCAGGCCCGCGUGUGUUGUGACAGCCUCCCGUGUGGAAUGCACGCUUUCGGGUUGCGAAAAGCACUCGCCUAUGACGACGCGUCGGUGACGGUACUCGGAGAAGAAGCACCGGCUAACUACGUG